AGGACGAACGCUGGCGGCGUGCCUAACACAUGCAAGUCGAACGCCCUCCAUUCGGUAGCAAUACCGAUGAAGAGGGAGUGGCGAACGGGUGAGUAGCACGUGAGCAACCUGCCCCGAAGACUGGGACAACACCGGGAAACCGGUGCUAAUACCGGAUAUCCCUAUCAGACCGCAUGAUCUGAUAAGGAGAUGGAUUCCGCUUCGGGAGGGGCUCGCGGCCUAUCAGCUAGUUGGUGAGGUAAUAGCUCACCAAGGCAUCGACGGGUAGCUGGUCUGAGAGGACGAUCAGCCACACUGGGACUGAGACACGGCCCAGACUCCUACGGGAGGCAGC
RNAcentral lists this ribosomal RNA (334 nucleotides) under uncultured prokaryote. RNAcentral's name for it is "bacterial SSU rRNA". It matches the Rfam family "Bacterial small subunit ribosomal RNA", at positions 26 to 352 of the family's 1533-position model. The record is from RNAcentral.